AUUUGCAGCAACACUGAUGGACCUAGAGAUAAUCCCACUAAGUGAAAACCAACUUGCAUCAUGGUGAUCAGACAUUGUCUGUAGUUGAAACUGCGACUCCAAAAUCCACGUUUUCAAGAAGACCCACUGUCUCCAAGUGCUGAUCCUGCUACCUCGGGUCUCAGGUGCCAGCGAUGGCUGAGGAAUGACAGCUCUCCAAAGUGAAGAUGAGGAGGUGGAAGCUUGCCUGCCCUUGUUCAGUCACACAGUUGUGACUGACUCUUUUCGACCCCACGGACUACAGCAUGGCAGGCUUCCCUGUUCUUCACCAUCUCCCAGUGGACCAAGUUGCUGAGAUCAGACAGCUACUUAGUGGAUGAGUCAGAACCAGAGCACAGCUCUCUGCCCACCAAUGAGCCGUCUCUCCACAACAGCUAAAUAAUUUACGCUUAUGAUCAUUUUGGGCAGAUUGAUGGUUGC
Molecule: long non-coding RNA, 459 nt
Organism: Cervus elaphus (red deer)
Lineage: Eukaryota; Metazoa; Chordata; Mammalia; Artiodactyla; Cervidae
Exons: 3
Source: RefSeq, a predicted model, not a curated record